UCUCGUGUGUCCCGCGCCGGCCUUGAAUUUGGUCAGUAGCCCAGGAUGACUUCUGAGUUUCUGGUCUUUCUGCAUCUGCCUUCUGAGUGCUGAGAGCAUGGCGCAAGUGCCACCGUAUUGUUUUAUGUGGUACCGAGGAUUAAACUUAGGGCUUUGUACCUGCUAGGUAAGAACUCUAUCAGCUGAGCUAUACCCAAGCCCCAGAAAUAUGCAAGUAAAAAACGUAAACAGGUCCCUAGUGUCAUGAAACACAAUGCAGGAUGUGUGUGUGUGUGUGUGUGUGUGUGUGUGUGUGUGUGUGUGUGUGUGUGUGACCUUUGGUGGGCCCAUUCCAAGGCGUGCCCCCUGAAUGAUUACACUGAGCAACAGGCCUGGUGUAAAAGAGGUUUAUUUGGGGAGGGGAAAAGAGUGAGGAUCUGGGGAAGGGGUAGAGGAGUGUAGAUCCAAGAAGACAGAACAAAGUCAUGAGGGCAGAGAAAGAGAGAGGGAAAGAGAGAGAGAAAGGAGAGAGAGAGAUGAUUUGCACUGACGACAGAAACUGAGGGCAAGGAGAAAUCUGGGAAUGGCUGGAGGCCCUUUUACCACAGCACACACCUGGUGUACCUGGCACACCUGUUGGUGGCAGUAGGUGACAGCAUAAGCAGUUGCUAGGUCUCUGAGGGCAGACCAGCGAAAUCACCUGUGUGCUACCACCUAGUCCAUGAAAAUUCAAACAGAACUUCCUGGUUAGGGUGCGAGCCAAAAGUGUAGCAUUCCCCUAGAUAGGCCCAUGUCUCUUGUUUUCAUUCCAACUGGAAUCAUCUAGCAGGCUUAGAAGCUUCUAGAAGGCGAAGACUGUGGAGAUUUUGCACUGUCGCCUCCCACACUAUGAGCCUGCCGGGCCUGUGAUUUGCAUGUUUAAGGCUUAAAGAGAAGAGGGAAGAAGGGGAGGGAGGAGGAAGAGGGAUGAAGGGAGGGCAAUGUGCAUGAACCCACAUCUGUCUUCUCUCUCCCUUCAAGUGCGACUCAACUCUGGGCACUCCCCACCCCCAGCUACCCUUCUUGCUUGGACCUAGGAGGGAGCCAGACCGGCUCCUCCCCAGACCCUGCCAGCAACUCAUUUGUUCUCAUCCUCCAGGAAGCUGAGCCUGUGGUCUCAAGCGUGGGGGGUUUGAAGGCUUCUAAGUUGUUCCUGGGAGUUCUUCCAGUGCAGGAAGUGGGCAGCCCCAUCUGUACACAGAUCCACAACCCCCUUGCCCAUGGAUCAUCAGUGGUCGAUGGUGAAGUUUCCAGGAUACAGAUCCACUUAGAAGCAAGGCUGCAUUUGGUGCCUCACUCCGUCACCAUGCACUUCCUCAAACUGUGGUCAAUGCAUCAACGGCCAUAAGUAUCUGGUAAGCUCUGUGUGUCUUUGACACCGGGCUCUUAUGCUCGAAGCAGAGGAGAUGCUGGCCCUGGCACCUUAGUCCUGGGCAGCCUGAUCCUUCUCUCUCUGUCCAGGGUUCUUCCCAAGUGCCCAAGGAUAGCAGCUGCGUGCUGGCUAGAGCCCACAUCUGGAAAUCAUUCUCUUCAUUCAAUUAGUGGCUGUCUCCCAAGCCCCUGCUCCCUUGAUCUUCCAAAGCCCUAUCCUUGCUGCUAACAAGGGUUUUUAAUUUGUUCGUUACAUUCCUUCCCAUUAGGCCUCCCGGCCUCUGCCCACCCUGGACCAGGUUGGGAGGGGGGAGCCUCAGGGCCCAAGCUCAGAGCUGUCCGUGCUCGGGGUACCCAGGACCUCUCUAGGGCAGCCUCCUCACGAGCUCUGCUCAUCACUCAGCAUCUUUCCUGACACCUUUGAGGAUGCCUAGGAGAUGGUCUGGGGACAGGGCUCCCCUGCCAGAUCCUCUUCUUUCUGUGACAGGCUCUGUGGCCACACAAUCAAUGCAGACAACUCGAUCUGGUAUCAAGGCCCCGUGUAAACCGCAGCCCAUCAAGAGGCAUUUAUUGUCCUGAAAACAAACAGUCCCCUCCCCCAGGCCAGCCAGUCCCAUCUCCACUCCCACUUGGGUACCCUUCUUCUGUCCUUGGAGCAGCUCAGACUGACUAAUCCCGGCAUCACUUCCUUUGCAUUCCGGCCUCUGCCAAGGCCAGACUUGGGUCCACUGUGGGAUAGAAAGCAGGAUGCCAGGGGUCGGUCUGUCUUAGUGAAGAGAGCUUAACUGAGUGGACUCCUGGGUAAGUGUGCUGGGUUGGAUAAAAUUUGCCCCAAAUUAAUGUCCGUGUAAAAGAUCAGCAUGUGACCUCAUUUGGACUUGUGGUCAUCCCGGGUAGGGGGCAUCCUUAGAGAACAGAGGUAUCCCUGGGGGUCCACGUGGAAGAAGGAACCACUCAGAAGCUGUGUAGCUGGCCUAUUAACUUUCUUAUCCUCUAUGGGUUCUAAUGUGCCUCCUUACUAUAGGGGAGCUGUUAAAAUAAGGUCAAGGGUGGGCUUUCCUAGGGGGAUGGGUGGACUUUCAUGAAAUGAUAGUGUCAUAGAGACAGAAAUAGAGAGGCUAAGACAGCCGGAGGCACAAUGCCAACAAAUGGCCCCCGCUGGCCUCCCAAGGGAGCCCACAUCGUCCAUAUCUAUUUUGGACUCCUGGCCUUCAGCACUGCCUCAAGAUACCUGGUUUAUUCCACUCGGAUGAGGUGGCAGACUGUGCAGAUUUGGGAAACUGAGGCUGGGAAUUUGCAAUACAAUUAUCACAAUCACAAACAAGGGCCACUAAUAGCUGUGAGGCUGGACUUAGAGCCUCUGCCUUCCAAGAAUUUCUUGGGAGGCCCAGUGCCCACAAAGCAUAGCAAUUCUGCACAGCAGGCAGGCUCUCAGCCUGGAAGGAGGCUGGGCUUAAGGAGCAGAGCCCACUCCCCACCUCGGUCUCCUCAGAGCCGCACACCACACGCUCCUUAGAUCCACGAAGCCCCCAAGAACGCUCAUCUCGCAGUAUCUAGGAAUCCUGAGUAGUUAGCAGGAUGGCAGUUGCCUGGUAGGUGUUAAUUAAUGACUUUGUGGAUGGGAGAAACCUAUCCAAGUUUUUAUCGGCUCCUGUGCAUAGCUUCGUGUCUCAGAUGUCACGUGGACAUGGAGUUGGACGGCUUCUUCCACUACGCUUCGUCUCGAAAACUGUAAGAAACCCACACAAGGAACCCUCUGUUGGGGCUGGCACACCCAUGGGCAGGAUGUUAGUUUAAAGCAGGGUUUCUCCACCCCAGUACUGCUGGCAACAUGGCCUGAAGUUUAGACCACAGUCUGCUGCAGGGCUGCCCUGUGUCCUACAGGAUCUUCCCAGAAUCCUUGGCCUUUACUCACUUCAUGCAGGGGGUACUCAAUGCUCCUCCCCAAGAUGUAACACCCCAGAGUGUCUGCAGACACUGUAACAUGUCUUCUGGGGAUGCAGAAUGGACACAAAUUCCAGGCUGUUCCCCAAAAGUCUGGAGUUAUCUGGACAUGGGCUUGGAGGAGCAGGGUGUACUCUGGGUCAAGGAGCCAUCGCUUCCCACCAUUAGUGAGCUGCCCUACCAACAGAGCUCCCUGUCUGAGGGUUCCGGGCACAGGCUAGACCACCAUGAAUGAAGUAGACAGAGACGUCUAGCUUUAGAUGGAAGAUUCGUACUAAGUAACUAUGCUCUGUCUGGAAGAUUCCCUGGCGUGAACACGUUGAUGGUGAUGAUGGAAGGUAGGACAUCUGCCUCUCCAGAAGUCAUAGCUACUCACGAGUCUAAAGAGAGCUAACAGUCUGCGGUGAAGAGUCCUGGAACUGAGGACAGCUGGCAACUCAUCUCUAAACCCAGGAGACCUAACCAGGUCAUUCAGCAUGAGUGGUGCAGGAGAAAUGGGGGGUACCAUUAGGGAUUCAGCCCCAGCUCUAACAGGCAGGGUUCUCAGUAAGGUAAGAAGCAUACGGGGGUAGAAAUUAAGAAGACCAUUUUGGGGUGCUGAAGAUUUUGGGGUGCUCACUUGGUCUGGGCUCAUCAGAGACAUCUCAGCAGGAAGUUGACUGUGACAGUGACUUAAGCCAUGGAGGAAGUAUACUUGUGACACCCAUAGUCAUUGGACCACUGCAAGAAGAGGAGAUUCUCAAGAGACAGAGGAGAGUUAACUGGCAAAAGGAUGCUGGAAGACAGGAGUUCUGGGGGGGGGGGUGGUAGGCAAGGAGAGGAAGCACCUGAGGGGAGGGUGGGGAAGCCAUUUGAGGAGCCACUAGAAUUAUGUAUGUGGGGUUCACAGACCGCUUUGACCAACCCUUAAAGGAAGGGCUUGGGUAAGUGGUGAUGGCACUUCCGGGAAGCGUGUAGGAAAGAUACAAGCUGUAGGAAAAAGGUGCUGAUAGAAGAGAGAUUGUGCUGCCAGCAGAGAUCCUGGGGAGUCUAGGGUUUAGGGCACAGGCAAAGGCCCAGGCUACAAGGCACAUGAGUUGGUGUAUGGGCUGGGUGGGUUGGACACAGGCUCCCUGAAGGGCUGCUUUGGACCAUGGAAGACGGGAGCAGACAUGGGGAAGGAGAGGCUGUCUGGAGGGUGGAGGAGAGGAGACCCUUUAGGGAAGGUUCAUCACUAAUAGUUUGUAACCCUCAUUUUGGAUUUUCCUAUGGGUUGGCUUGAUAAGGCCCCGAGGAAGUCUUCUCUGUUAUACAGCGCCACACUAACUAUGUCCGUCAGUCACUUCACACAUGAGCCAAGAGGUCAUGUUCAUCCCUACACCGCUCGCCCUUCAACGCAUGCUCAGUAUUUCAUGGUGAUGAUGUGCUCAGAGUGGAUGGUCUGCUUGCCCAUCUCUUCCCUCAACCUCUACGCUCCCCGCCCAGAUUCUCCAAAGCCUGAUAGAGCUAAAACCCUACUUCCUGCCAGUCCGGCGAGACCACAGACAACUGUGGACUUGCUUUUCUCCUUCCCGAGGUUUAAGAAAAAUAAGAAAACAAUCUACUCAGACAAAACAAAGCAAAUGAGGUGGCCUCGUUGGAGGGCUGAUGAGAUCCAAUUAGCAGAGAUGAGGACUGUGUGGCUUUCCAAGCACAAACAUCUUAUUUAUUUGUGGGGUGCUCGUCAGGGGGUGGCACGGCGAGCAUGCUUCUUGUUAUUACUUUUUUUCAUGCCUCAGCUAACAUGGAUGGACCUUCCCGGGAAAGCCUGCGGUUCUUAGAGGUUGUAAGGGGUUCAGGGAGCUGGACUGGCAGCCCCCAAUCCCCAGGAGACCUGGACAGGUAGAGACUGGGUAGGCUAUGAGAAAACAUCACCAGGGGUGGGUGGCAUGGGUAAGAAAAUAGCAAUAGCUACCCCACACUCGUGCUCGUUCUGUACUGGGUUGUCUGAGGUGCUCCAUUCACGCUCUCUCUCAACCACUGCAUGCAUGGUCAGAUGUCAGGGUCCACCGGGCAUCCAGGGAUGCUUGGGGAGGUGGUGUCAGCUGACUCAAGUGGCUUGAGUGGUGAACGGUGACACUCGUUUCUGGUCACAGAUCUCCCCUAGAGUCAUGCAAGGUACCUUCUUGGAUCACCCAUAUAACCCUGUAUCCCGGGAGGGGAAAGGAAAAGCCAGCGAGUUAGGAGUAGACGCCAUGAGAGGUACCCAGGUUCGGGUUCUGAGUAGGAGCUGGUGGAAGGGUCCUACUGUGGGCUCAAAUCCAUUUUCUAAGUGCCAGGUGGAAGGGCAGGGGACUGGUUGGUGUCAAUGGAAGCUCUCCAGUAUUUGAGGCUCGAGCCAGACUUUGUAGGUAGCCAGGCAGCUGAGGGGGAUGGCUUCUGCAUGUCGUAUCCACUGAGCACUCCUUCUGGGAGUGACCUCUUUUCCUAACGCUUAGUUCCUUAAAACUUUUUACGUUUAUGGGAGUUUUGUGUGCACGUGUGUCUGUACAUGUGUGUGCAGUGCCCUUGGAGCCUAGGAGGUCAUGGGGUCCACUGGAACUGAAGUUAUAGAUGGUGGUGAGCGGCCAUGUGGGUGCUAAGAACAAAGGCUGGGUCCUCUGAAAGAGCAGCCAGUGCUCUUAACCUUUGAGCCGUCUCAUCCAUCUCUACCUUCACACUCUUUAAGAGAUGAGAGGUGUCCCACAGAAGAGGCAAUGACUGAUUCAAGUGCCAAAGAACGGGAGGGGGUGCUAAGUAGCCAAGAGGGCUCCACAGAACCAUCUAGAACUUCAAAAGGAAAGAGGAGUCUGCAACAGGAUCGCCUUGAUGGGAAUGGCCACAGGGGAAAAGGGGCUGAGGGGCCACAGCUGAGACAUAUACUUCCAUUAGUCUGUGCAAUGGCCGGUGGGAGUGUUACUUUACAGUCACUGUGACAAAAUGCCUGAGGCAGCAAACUUGUGAGGGAGAAAGGUUUAUCAUGGCUCAUAUAUUUAGAAGUUUCAGGUGACAGUCACUUGACUUUGCUGCUUCGAGCCUGGAGCUGCACAGAUCAUGGUGGCAGCAUGGGGUGCUAUCCAGGAAGCAGAAAAGAGGAAGGAGCUAGGGUCUUGGUGUCCCCUAGGAUAUACCUCUAAUGACGUAACCUCCUUGCAUCAGUCCCUGCUUCUUAAAGGUCCUACCACCUUCCAGUGGUACCAUGUUCAGUGGCCAAGCCUUUAACGCGUAAGUUUUGGAGGGAACAUUCUACAUCCUUAUUUUAACGCUGCUUUAACAGUUAACUGGCCCCUCCUCAUGCGGAAGGCCACAGCCAUCAAUUUAUUCAUUCAACAAACCUGCAUUUCCCAGGCACUGAUCUGGACAUUAGGGACCCUCCAGUGGACCUCUCGCUGAGACCAAGGUCACCGCCCUUGGGGGUUUAUCUGCCCUCUGGGAGUUAGUCUGGUAGAGCGUGGGAAGGAUCGCCAAUACGGAAGAUAAACAGACCAGUGAUGUAACGUACUAGAGGGUAGUGUGUGCUGUGAAGAGUGUGAAAGCGUCAGGGUCUAGGGCACAGGCAGAGGCACCGGGCACAGGCUGCUGCAUCUGAUAGAGGAAGAAGGUAGGUCCCACUCUAGAGGAUGUGCUCCAAGUCAGAGCCCAGCAGUUUUGGGGGCAGAAGACUCCGGGUAGUACAAUGAGCUGACCGGAAGGCUCUAGAGUAUGGCCACAUAUCAGUGUGACGCUUAGAAGAGGUCAUGUGGCUAGACGUCGAGGCGUGAGGCAGAGGCUCAGAGAAGCAACCGUGGUUAAUAGCUUAGGGCCUCAUAAGCUUUGGCUCUUACUCUAGGCCACCCCAAAAUUAUCUCAUCGCUACUUUGUAGCUGGAUCUUUGCCUACUUUUAUGAAUCGUAAUGUAAUAUAGCUGUGUCUCCUGAUGGCUUUAGGUGACCCCUGUGGAAGAGUCACUUGACCCCCGAAGGUAUUGUGAACCACAGGUUGAGAAGCACUGCCCUAGAGGCUUCCGCUGUCAGCCUGGGGAUCACAAGUUCUAGUUUCGGUUUGGUAAUUUUAGAAUAGUGUGGCUCUGUUGGUAGGAAGCCCUAAAUUAGGUCCACGGAACUGCAUAAAAACCAGCGUGGCUGCACACACCCAUAAUCCCAGUGCUUCAGAGGUAGAGGCGGAAAGGUCAGAUGUUCAGGUUCAUCGUCCACUACGUGAUGAGUUUGAGGUCAGCACGAGCUACCUGAGACUAUGACUCAAACAAACAAACAAACAAACAAACAAACAAAAAACCCACACAAGCCAACAAGCCAACACCCAAACCAGGACAGUUUCAGACCUCACCACAGCAGAUUCAGGGUGAAGGCUUCCUGUCCCCAUCACCCAGUCUCCUGUGUUAAUACCUUGUCUACUGCCGUCCACAGGUAACAACUAGGGAACCAACAACGGUCUGUUAUAUCCCAUCCAUUACACACCAUGUACAUCAGAUGUCCCCAGCUUCCCCGUGGUCUCCUGUCACCUCCUACCUGCUACCCAGAACCCCACACUCAUAUGUUAUAUCUCUCUGAUUUCCCCCACACAGGCCAUUCCUCAGGCAAGUCUAGUCUGUGAUGACCUUGGACCUUCUGAGUUGUAGCAUAUUUGCUAUCAUGCGUCAUGUGCCUUAGUUUGGGGAUUUUGCAGGGGCUGGGGUAUAGAAAACCCAGAUGUAAAGUACUCUGUCAUGUCCCAGAAGGGGACACAAAGUCCUUGUGACUCUUCACAGAUGACAUUAAACCUUGACCACUGGUGAGAUAAGAUUGGCUAGGUUUCUGUACUGUCAAGGUACGUGGCCGAACUCCCUUCCCAUAUGGUGUACUUCUUUAGAAACUAAUGCACGACUGCAGGCCACACUCUGGGUGGAGAGCUGCUUCUUCUUAAGAGGUGACGAUAGUCGCCAUCCAGAAGCAGUCACGGCAGCAGCUCAGGAUCAGACACUGCUGCCUGGCAUCUGGAGGCAGCAAGACAGGGUGCUGAAUUCCAUGUGGGACAUUGGCACAUCCCUGUCUACCGGAUGAUUCCAUUGGUUGCUUGCAGGACAGGGAGGGUGAAGCAGACAAGGAUACCGUAAAGUCCCGGCUUUGGACACACAUGCCGUCACAUCACCCUCUACAAAGCUGAGAAGGCCUAGGGAGGAGAGAGUCUCUCAGGACAAGUGGGAACUUAGAUUAGGCUGGGGCAGUGUGGCCACCCUUUGUGAACAGAAAAUUGGAUGAGUAUAUCCAGAGUUUGACAAUUGGGUCUAGGAGAGAGGGAUGUUGGUAGAAGCCCUGCGCACCGGAGAUCACCAAGGAGAUAUGGAAAGAGGAAAGAGCCAGAUGGGGCCCCAGGAUGCUGUGACAUCAGAGUUUGGACAUCUAGAGAAGCCAGUGAGGGAGGUGCCAAAGCAAGGGUAGGCCAAACAAGGAGAAGACAGUUAAGGGCUGAGCACCAACUCCACAGGGACAGCUUGGUGAGGAGUCUAAGCCUGAGGUAGGACCACAAGAAGGAGGGAAGAGGGAAGCAGGGACAGGAGAAAUCACAGCUUCUUUCUAAAGACGAAAGUUCUGUGCUAUAAAAGCAGCAAAGACCUACAGGGCAGGGAGGUGAGAAAGAGACGGGUAGGCACUAACUAGAAGUAUCCUGAGAUUAGAGAAGCCACAAAACUCAAUUCUACUAAUGGGAGUGAGUACACAGAGGUGACUGUUCUUGUAAUGUGUGUGACAGCGUACCAAGGCUGCUUCACACCUCAAAGCAGGCGAGCAUGGGAAGGAAGCAUGGAAUGGUAGGAUCAAGGUUGGGCUGUCAUAUAAGACUCCCCUGGAUGGUUCCAGAACCUCCUGGGUACAUACAAGGUUCCCCACCAAGAGGAGAGCAUGAGAGCAAUCCAGCAAAGCUUGAGUUGAGCAGCGAGAGCUCUUGAGAAGGCUGCAAGGGAAACCUACCAAGAUAGAGGGUUCCCUGAAUCCUUGCACAUUCCCCUGGCCCUACCAGCCCUGAGAAGAAAGGAAAAGACAACUUCUUCCCUCCUCGUGGCCUCUGGGAAGUACUUUAAAAAACUUAAGUGCUCUGCCCCAAGGGCUCCAGAGGCCAGCCUCGAAACUCCCUGUGGCUAUAUCCUAAACGGUGGUGUGCGUUCUUAAUUGUGCUCAUGUGUUUCUGAGGGAAGGAGCCAAAGGCGUCUGAGGAUACAGAGCCCUCAGAAGACGAAGAGGGACCUGCCAGCCGCUGAGGGUACACCAACAGAGUGUCGUCCCCUACUUCCAAUUUGGAAGCUUCCAGCCCCAUCCCAGACACCGCGGAAAAAGGGGGACCACUCAACCAGCCACGCUGUCACCACCCUGGAUUUUUGUCCCAUCCCACGUCCCAAGAGGCUGCCCAUGUCAAGGACGGCGUGCAUGACUCUCUGUAUCUGGGUCACUGUCUGGGCGUCUGACUCACGGGGCUGCUUCAGUGCUGUCGGGGUGCAGAGCGUGAGAAGAGCAGUCGCACUUGCUGAUUUCCUCAAAGCAGCUGAGUGAGAGGCUGGGCCUGCACGUGGCCUGUGUACAACUGACGGGUGGGUGUGUUUGUGUACAGUGGCAUGCGUCCAAAAGGCUGAGCACAUGCCUGUGUGUGUGCACAUGUGUUCAUGUAUAUGCAGAGGUAUGUGACUGGUGUGUCGGAGGGAGGGGCAAGUGCACACGAGCGGUGGAUGUACCUGGGUGAAGAAAGACAGAAACAUGGAAGGCGACAGAGUGACACUUGUUCCACCUUUCAACUUUAUGGGCAUGAGUAUUUUUUCUUGGGAGAAAAGAGGAGGAUUUGUGAGAAACACGGUACAACUUUUCAAAGAACAUGGAACUGGCUCCCAGUCCUGUGUCUUCUCUGUGGAAUAUGAGGCACUGACUGCCCUGCCAGACAGGGACCCACUGACAUUAUUUGAGAGAUACCCACGUCCCAAGAGCUCAGAGAGGCUAAGUUACAGUCCCAGCUCACAAGCUCUGAGGGACAUAAAAGGCUGGCUUUCUCCUAGGGGAAGGUAGGAGAUUCAGGUUAGCACCCACUCUGUCAUUCAAUGCUGUGAUAUUCCUGAGGGAAUCCCCACUCCCUGGAAAAAAAAUCAUCAUAUAGGAGUGUUGCAGUAAAUUCCCCAACCCAAAUAAACCGUGCAAUGAAAACACAGCUCAAAUACGAGCUGUGCGCCCAGACCGGGCAGAUCCGCCACUGUACUACUCUAUUCCCAGCUGAGAUCCCCGAUAACUUGCGGUUUCUCCAGGCCACGUGCUUCAGCUCCAUCUUCCUCCCACCACCUCCUCCUCUUUCUCCUCUCUCUCCCUCUCCUCCACUCUUCAGCUCCCUCCCCUGCCCAAUCACGGGCUCUGGCCUUUAUUUUACAAGUUAAACCGGGGAGAAGGUUCAGGUGAAGUCACCUGAGUGUGUGAUUUACUCCUUGUCCAAGGCAGCCUCUCUUGGGGAAGUGUAAUUAGCAUCAAAAUACAAACAGCACCAGGGCAACCCACGUAGGAGGGCCCAGUCUAUCUCAGAACCCAGGGCUUUCCUAAGAGGACCAUGGUGGAGCCAAAAUCCUCUCCGUAGCUUGGCCAGGGUCUACUAUGACCGGGGACCCUCCUCAGGACCUCUUCCAGCUGUUUCCUGUGACUACCCUGCUGGAUAACAGGAGCCCUGGGACAGUGUAUAAGAGAAGCCCAACACGGUCCUAGCUGGGUCUAUCUUCUGAGUUUGGUGUUCUCUGCUCACAGGGUUAGUAGAACAUGCACCACGGAGAAAGAGGUAUAAGAUCUGUCAUUACGAGACUGAGUUACUACAGCUCCUAGACGUGUAGAUGUGGCACCUUACAAAUGACCCCUGACUCCCUCACCUGACCCCUGACCCCCUGACCCCUUCACUUUUGCUCGAUUUUGAUUCUUUCAUGGAAAGAGUCACAAGGGUACAUACCAUAUCACAUGAUUCAAUUAAGAAUGUUUCCUGUUCACUUAGCUCUCAAGAAUCCAUCCAGACUACCUACACCCGUGCCCUCAGGACUGGAUCCUUGCCAACUCUGCUUUCCUGUCCCUUUAGCCAACAUCCUGGGAUAUGCUACCAGAGGCCAGGGACAGAGAGAGCUGUCUUCCAGCUUUGGGCUCAGAUGGCUUCUAGGGCUGGACCCGUGUGGGAUCCUCCUCUCCACGUGCUGCUGGUCACAGAGAGUUUAAGUACCGAAGACACCUCCCCCAUCUCAGGAGGGAGCCCACAUUACCCAUCAGCCACCAGGGAAGGCUCCCCACAGUACAGUUGUGAAUUAAACAUGCAGCCUAAUGAGUUGAUUUUAUUAGUUUGCAAACGCAUUGAGAACUCGUUAUCAAAAUAAACAUCAAUUCCUUUCA
This 11696-nucleotide small RNA is filed under the name Rattus norvegicus (Norway rat). RNAcentral describes it as "uncharacterized LOC102547687". Lineage: Eukaryota; Metazoa; Chordata; Mammalia; Rodentia; Muridae. The record is from RNAcentral.